GCCCGGAUGGCGAAAUCGGUAGACGCAGCGGACUUAAAAUCCGCCAGCCGCAAGGCUUUGCCGGUUCGAGUCCGGCUCCGGGCACCA
RNAcentral lists this transfer RNA (87 nucleotides) under Pseudomonadota bacterium. RNAcentral describes it as "tRNA-Leu". It matches the Rfam family "tRNA". Rfam says of the family: Transfer RNA (tRNA) molecules are approximately 80 nucleotides in length. Their secondary structure includes four short double-helical elements and three loops (D, anti-codon, and T loops). Lineage: Bacteria; Pseudomonadati; Pseudomonadota. The record is from RNAcentral.